GAUGAACGCUGGCGGCGUGCCUAAUACAUGCAAGUCGAGCGAACAGACGAGGAGCUUGCUCCUCUGACGUUAGCGGCGGACGGGUGAGUAACACGUGGAUAACCUACCUAUAAGACUGGGAUAACUUCGGGAAACCGGAGCUAAUACCGGAUAAUAUAUUGAACCGCAUGGUUCAAUAGUGAAAGACGGUUUUGCUGUCACUUAUAGAUGGAUCCGCGCCGCAUUAGCUAGUUGGUAAGGUAACGGCUUACCAAGGCAACGUUGCGUAGCCGACCUGAGAGGGGGAGCGCGCACGUGAGGGGGAGCACCCGGCCCGGGCCUGAGGGGCGGCACGGAGUGGGAAGCGUGGCGAAAGGGGGGAAGCCGGCACAAUGGGCGGCGGCGUGAGGAAGAAGGGUCGCGGGCUGGAAAACCUCUUUUAUGGGGAAAAAAAAAUUGGUAAGGUAAGAAGCCUGGUUGACGGUAACCGAAAAAGAAACCCCGGGUAAAUCCGUG
RNAcentral lists this ribosomal RNA (495 nucleotides) under uncultured bacterium. Its description in RNAcentral is "partial 16S ribosomal RNA". It matches the Rfam family "Bacterial small subunit ribosomal RNA", at positions 28 to 507 of the family's 1533-position model. The record is from RNAcentral.